This 73-nucleotide transfer RNA is filed under the name Agrilus planipennis (emerald ash borer). It matches the Rfam family "tRNA". From Rfam's summary of the family: Transfer RNA (tRNA) molecules are approximately 80 nucleotides in length. Their secondary structure includes four short double-helical elements and three loops (D, anti-codon, and T loops). The record is from Rfam by way of RNAcentral. Lineage: Eukaryota; Metazoa; Arthropoda; Insecta; Coleoptera; Buprestidae.
UUCCACGUAGCUUAGUGGUCAAGGCAUUGGUGCGUGAAGUCAAAGGUCCAGGGUUCGAUUCUCGGCGGGGGUG